GAUCAUAAAUCUAGAACUGAGACUUGAUGCAUGCAUAUAAUAUAUACUCUCCUCCUCCUCUCUGUCUCUUAAAAUUCCCAGCUCCCUUCAAAGCUCAGCUUAAGUUGGGUGAAAGAAGGACAUCAAAGAUGUGUGAGCAGCCCUGAAAACAGCUUGGCACGCCCUCCUACCAGAGAUGCUAUUCCUCCCUGAAUACCCCGUAAAUGAUAAUAAUGGAAAGGAUCACGCUGUCUACAUCCAGGUAUUGCCAUUACCAGUUGGCACCAGCUCUGCCCUGAGUCCAUUUUGAAAGUCAUAUUUUCAAAAACUUCAUCAAGAAUCUCAUCCUAUUUACUUGGGCAGGAAGGCCUAUUACUCCUAUCCUACAGGUUAUAGGAGAGUCAACUGGUACAAGUUUGAGAUCAGUAAUCAAAUCCAGCCACCAACUUGCAAAGAUCUGCUAUGUUCAAGUGAAGAAGACAUCAGAUGAGGAUGCUUUCUUGCUAUAUUUUUACAGCAAAUAACUUUUUGUACAAGCUGAAAUGGAGGAAUUAGUUGGUGGUAAAAGGGAUAGAUGAAGAAUGGAUAUCUCCUCCUUGAAAGCAGGAUCCAGGAGAGGCAGCUGAGGUUUGUCUUGCCGUGAUCUUGACCCAACUGGCACAGUUCAGACCCAGGGCACCAGGAGCUGUGAGAAUAUGAGAAAGAAGAAACCUCAUAGACCAUCCAGUCCAAUCUAUAUCUGUGAAGGAAUCUCUUCUAUAAUAUGUGAACAAGCAAUUAUCUGCCAAUUUCAAUGAAAUGUAGCCCACCUUGCCCUACUCAAACACAGUAGAAUGAGCCAUAGAAAACGCUACAAGAUCUGUAACUAGAGUGGGAUGAGUGGGGCUUUGACUCAGGUCAGAGAUUUUUCCAAAGGGGGAAAAUUAGUUUCAAUUUGUUACAAAUGAGAGUGUAUAUUGAGGGGAAAGGGAGAAUUGGUGAAUAAUGAUAGAUAUGUUUUUUUUAAUUAGUAAAACAUUUUAAAUACCCAGAGGAAAAUAAAAGGAAAUUUGUAAAAGGGCACAAGCUGACAGAACAAUCUUGUUAUUGCCUUAUUAAACAUAAUAUACACUCUUUAAUAAACUGUGCAGCAGAAGCUCCCAUCUUCAAAUACAAUCAAUCCUCUUUUUUGUUCUUUGGAUAUUGAAAUGUUUGUAUUCAUUAAUGAUUAAAUUCAUAAUAAAAAAGACAUUUUGUUAAAUUGCAGUGUUGCUGACAGUGUUUAUAUUGCUGUAAAGAUCAGAGUAGGAAUGGGGUGCAGCCAGAUGGGGAAAGGAUGAAGCUGUGGUUAGGUAAGUUGAUUGCCAAGAAGGAUGACACUGAAGACACAACCAAGGUCCAACUGGAAGUGCAUCUCAACCGCUUCAAGAUGUUUCUUGGGUAGGAGGAAAGAAGAAGAGACCAGCACUGUGGGUUAGUAAGGGAUACCUUUGCCUCAAAACAUUUGAAAAGUGGAAAUGCAGCUUCAAGACAACCAGGAGAUCAGCA
Non-coding RNA from Monodelphis domestica (gray short-tailed opossum), 1506 nucleotides. NCBI's taxonomy places the organism in Eukaryota, Metazoa, Chordata, Mammalia, Didelphimorphia, Didelphidae. The record is from RefSeq and is a predicted model, not a curated record.